AGCGAACGCUUGGAGGCAGGCUUAACACAUGCAAGUCGAACGGGCGUAGCAAUACGUCAGUGGCAGACGGGUGAGUAACGCGUGGGAACAUACCUCUUGGUUCGGAACAACACAGGGAAACUUGUGCUAAUACCGGAUAAGCCCUUACGGGGAAAGAUUUAUCGCCGAGAGAUUGGCCCGCGUCUGAUUAGCUAGUUGGUGGGGUAAAGGCCUACCAAGGCGACGAUCAGUAGCUGGUCUGAGAGGAUGAUCAGCCACAUUGGGACUGAGACACGGCCCAAACUCCUACGGGAGGCAGCAGUGGGGAAUAUUGGACAAUGGGCGCAAGCCUGAUCCAGCCAUGCCGCGUGAGUGAUGAAGGCCCUAGGAUUGUAAAGCUCUUUUGUACGGGAAGAUAAUGACGGUACCGUAAGAAUAAGCCCCGGCUAACUUCGUGCCAGCAGCCGCGGUAAUACGAAGGGGGCUAGCGUUGCUCGGAAUCACUGGGCGUAAAGGGUGCGUAGGCGGGUUUUUAAGUCAGAGGUGAAAUCCUGGAGCUCAACUCCAGAACUGCCUUUGAUACUGAAAGUCUUGAGUAUGGGAGAGGUGAGUGGAACUGCGAGUGUAGAGGUGAAAUUCGUAGAUAUUCGCAAGAACACCAGUGGCGAAGGCGGCUCACUGGCCCAUAACUGACGCUGAGGCACGAAAGCGUGGGGAGCAAACAGGAUUAGAUACCCUGGUAGUCCACGCCGUAAACGAUAAAUGCCAGCCGUUAGUGGGUUUACUCACUAGUGGCGCAGCUAACGCUUUAAGCAUUCCGCCUGGGGAGUACGGUCGCAAGAUUAAAACUCAAAGGAAUUGACGGGGGCCCGCACAAGCGGUGGAGCAUGUGGUUUAAUUCGACGCAACGCGCAGAACCUUACCAGCCCUUGACAUGUCUAUGACCGGUACCAGAGAUGGAACCUUCCCUUCGGGGCAUAGAGCACAGGUGCUGCAUGGCUGUCGUCAGCUCGUGUCGUGAGAUGUUGGGUUAAGUCCCGCAACGAGCGCAACCCCCGUCCUUAGUUGCUACCAUUUAGUUGAGCACUCUAAGGAGACUGCCGGUGAUAAGCCGCGAGGAAGGUGGGGAUGACGUCAAGUCCUCAUGGCCCUUACGGGCUGGGCUACACACGUGCUACAAUGGCGGUGACAAUGGGAUGCAAAAGGGCGACCUCUCGCAAAUCUCAAAAAGCCGUCUCAGUUCGGAUUGGGCUCUGCAACUCGAGCCCAUGAAGUUGGAAUCGCUAGUAAUCGUGGAUCAGCAUGCCACGGUGAAUACGUUCCCGGGCCUUGUACACACCGCCCGUCACACCAUGGGAGUUGGUUCUACCUGAAGGCAGUGCGCUAACCGCAAGGGGGCAGCUGACCACGGUAGGGUCAGCGAUCUGGGGUG
Molecule: ribosomal RNA, 1411 nt
Filed under: uncultured Bradyrhizobiaceae bacterium
Lineage: Bacteria; Pseudomonadati; Pseudomonadota; Alphaproteobacteria; Hyphomicrobiales; Nitrobacteraceae
Description: 16S ribosomal RNA
Rfam family: Bacterial small subunit ribosomal RNA
Source: RNAcentral